GGCCUCGUGGCCUAAUGGCAUGGCGUUAGAUUUCGGUCAUCAUACAAAACAUGACUUGCUCUCUAAAGAUUGUCGGUUCGAAUCCGGCCGAGGUCG
Molecule: non-coding RNA, 96 nt
Organism: Xylaria nigripes
Lineage: Eukaryota; Fungi; Ascomycota; Sordariomycetes; Xylariales; Xylariaceae
Source: the annotation of a GenBank genome assembly